GUUUCCCUCCUGGUUCUCCUGGCUCCUUGAUAUAUAGACAAGAUAUCAUAUCAGGCUUUUUCAAAUUCUUCCACAGAAAACUCAGUGAUGUGGAGAAUUAUAAACUGUCUUGAAAGAAUUUCUUCAUUGUGCAUUUUUGCAGCCUUCUUCACAGCAGUACUGAGCCAAAUCUUUACUCUUUGAAGAUGUCAACAAAACCACUUCAAAGUACCUCUGCCUCACACAAUGUAUUUUUUGGGAAUUGCUUAAAGGAAGAGAGUAACAUAACUUGGUGUUAUAAGUACGCUAAUUUCUGGAAGGAUCUCAGAAGGAAACAUGUCUGGAAGUUGUACAGCCUACAAAACCAUGUGGUGAUUUGAUAUUGUCCUGAAUCUGGUUUGCCUUGAACACGCUCUGCACGUUAAAAUGUCCCUGGAGAAGGAAAGCACAGUUGGCUAUCCCAGCAUGAAUACUCUGCAAAUAUUGUUCUGGGACCUGCACAGCCUGGGAAAAUAUGGAACAUGGUGCCUGGAUACUUUGUAGCAUUAAUUGCUUUUUGCCCUUAUCUGCACCCACUGGCUUAAUAGCAAUCUGUCUGCAUAGUGUGUGGUGUGUGCUUUUUUUCCCAUGAAUUUUGAGAAAUUAUAUGUUAAGAGGAGAUAUACUACAUGGGAAAAUCCACUUAGUCUGAAAAGAGUUGGCUGUGGACAGUGCUGGCAGCUCCUGGAAAUAGCUGCUUUGCAGGGGUACACACAGACAGAUGAUCUCAAGUGAAGACAUUGCAAAUAAAACAUCCCUCAAAACAUUCUCAAGUGUGAUGUAAGGCAACAAAAGAUGAAUGUGCUGUGAAUCCCGGGGUGUUCCUCAAAGUUCAAUCCAUAGUCAUGUCCCGUGCAGCAAAGAAGGUUUUAAGAUAAUGGUGUUACAUGUUUUUAAAGACUUCUUUUUCUGUUUUGUCCUUCUUUUCCUUCUUGUGCAUUCAGUGCAUUGUUAUUUGCUAGAUAAUUAUUGGUGCUGACGGUCCUUGGUGAGGACAUGAAUCUUCCCUGUGAUGUCAAUUUCCUAGUUUUAACUACAAAACACGUUAGAUGUACUAGGCUUUUGGUAGGCCUUCUUUGCUUUUUUGAUAUCUGAAUGACUCUGCAGAUUCAGUCCUCUUCUGAGGGUUGGAGCAAGAGUGAGGAUCUGGAUUUGUUCAAGUUGGUGUCUGUGCUCCAAGACCAGUAAGGACCUGGUGGCAGUGAGAAUACCAGGUGUCAUGGUUUUAGCUGGGAUGGAGUUAAUUUUCUUCACUGCAGCUGGCAUAGUGCUGCGCUUUGGACGUAGUAUGAAAAUGAUGUUGAUAACACACGCGUGUUUUGGUUGUUUCUGGGCAGUGCUUGUACUAGUCAAGGACUUUUCUAGCCUCCCAUGCUCUGCCGGGUGCACAAGAAGCAGGGAGGGGAGGGGGCACAGCUAAGAGAGUGGAUUCAAGCUGGCCAAAGAGGAUAUUCCAUACCAUGUGAUGUCAUGCCCAGUAUGUUAACUGGGAGGAGCUGGCCAGGGGAGGGAGGCAGCAAUCGCUGCUCAGGGAUCGGCAGCAACAGUUGGUGGGUGGUGAGUGGCUGUAUCAUUUGUGUGUUGUUUUUUUUCUUUUUCCCUUUUCCUUUUUAUUAUAUUAUCAUUAUUGUUUUUCUCAUAAUCAUUAUUAUUAUCAUUAUUGUUUUAAUUAUUAAACUGUUCUUACCUUAACCCACAAGUGUUUUCUUUUCCUUUGCUCUUCUGAUUCUCUCCCCCAUCACACAGGGGUGGGGGGAGUGAGCAAGCAGCUGCAUGGUGUUUAGUUGCCAACUGGGGCUGAACCACAAUACCAGGAUACCUAGUCAUGCAAGGACUGGCAACGAGUCCAGUAUCCUCCUAGUGAUGCAAUACCUUUAUGCCAUGAAAGAAUCACCCUGUAGGCAUAUAAACAUCCCAGGUCCUCCUCCUCCCAUUUUAAGAAUGUUUUGCACACAAACCCACUGCCAAGCAUUGGUGGCAUAGCAGAGGAUCCCAUCCCAUGCAUCUGCCUCACCAUGUUCAUUCUUCAAAUACAUUUUGUGCAUCCUCUAUUCAUAUUU
Non-coding RNA from Phalacrocorax carbo (great cormorant), 2078 nucleotides. The record is from RefSeq and is a predicted model, not a curated record. NCBI's taxonomy places the organism in Eukaryota, Metazoa, Chordata, Aves, Suliformes, Phalacrocoracidae.